CUAGAGCUAAUACAUGCUAAAAAUCCCGACUUCGGAAGGGAUGUAUUUAUUAGAUUAAAAACCAAUGCCCUUCGGGGCUCACUGGUGAUUCAUGAUAACUCCUCGAAUCGCAUGGCCUUGUGCCGGCGAUGGUUCAUUCAAAUUUCUUCCCUAUCAACUUUCGAUGUUUGGGUAUUGGCCAAACAUGGUUGCAACGGGUAACGGAGGGUUAGGGCUCGACCCCGGAGAAGGAGCCUGAGAAACGGCUACUACAUCCAAGGAAGGCAGCAGGCGCGCAAAUUACCCAAUCCCGACACGGGGAGGUAGUGACAAUAAAUACUGAUACAGGGCUCUUUUGGGUCUUGUAAUUGGAAUGAGUACAAUUUAAAUCCCUUAACGAGGAACAAUUGGAGGGCAAGUCUGGUGCCAGCAGCCGCGGUAAUUCCAGCUCCAAUAGCGUAUAUUAAAGUUGUUGUGGUUAAAAAGCUCGUAGUUGAACCUUGGGCCUGGCUGGCCGGUCCGCCUCACCGCGUGUACUGGUCCGGCCGGGCCUUUCCCUCUGUGGAACCCCAUGCCCUUCACUGGGUGUGGCGGGGAAACAGGACUUUUACUGUGAAAAAAUUAGAGUGCUCCAGGCAGGCCUAUGCUCGAAUACAUUAGCAUGGAAUAAUAGAAUAGGACGUGUGGUUCUAUUUUGUUGGUUUCUAGGACCGCCGUAAUGAUUAAUAGGGACAGUCGGGGGCAUCAGUAUUCAAUUGUCAGAGGUGAAAUUCUUGGAUUUAUUGAAGACUAACUACUGCGAAAGCAUUUGCCAAGGAUGUUUUCAUUAAUCAGGAACGAAAGUUAGGGGAUCGAAGACGAUCAGAUACCGUCGUAGUCUUAACCAUAAACUAUGCC
Molecule: ribosomal RNA, 876 nt
Filed under: Fusarium oxysporum
Lineage: Eukaryota; Fungi; Ascomycota; Sordariomycetes; Hypocreales; Nectriaceae
Description: SSU rRNA
Rfam family: Eukaryotic small subunit ribosomal RNA
Source: RNAcentral